GACGAACGCUGGCGGCGUGCUUAACACAUGCAAGUCGAACGGAAAGGCCCUGCUUUUGUGGGGUGCUCGAGUGGCGAACGGGUGAGUAACACGUGAGUAACCUGCCCUUGACUUUGGGAUAACUUCAGGAAACUGGGGCUAAUACCGGAUAGGAGCUCCUGCUGCAUGGUGGGGGUUGGAAAGUUUCGGCGGUUGGGGAUGGACUCGCGGCUUAUCAGCUUGUUGGUGGGGUAGUGGCUUACCAAGGCCUUGACGGGUAGCCGGCCUGAGAGGGUGACCGGCCACAUUGGGACUGAGAUACGGCCCAGACUCCUACGGGAGGCAGCAGUGGGGAAUAUUGCACAAUGGGCGGAAGCCUGAUGCAGCAACGCCGCGUGCGGGAUGACGGCCUUCGGGUUGUAAACCGCUUUCGCCUGUGACGAAGCGUGAGUGACGGUAAUGGGUAAAGAAGCACCGGCUAACUACGUGCCAGCAGCCGCGGUGAUACGUAGGGUGCGAGCGUUGUCCGGAUUUAUUGGGCGUAAAGGGCUCGUAGGUGGUUGAUCGCGUCGGAAGUGUAAUCUUGGGGCUUAACCCUGAGCGUGCUUUCGAUACGGGUUGACUUGAGGAAGGUAGGGGAGAAUGGAAUUCCUGGUGGAGCGGUGGAAUGCGCAGAUAUCAGGAGGAACACCAGUGGCGAAGGCGGUUCUCUGGGCCUUUCCUGACGCUGAGGAGCGAAAGCGUGGGGAGCGAACAGGCUUAGAUACCCUGGUAGUCCACGCUGUAAACGGUGGGUACUAGGUGUGGGGUCCAUUCCACGGGUUCCGUGCCGUAGCUAACGCUUUAAGUACCCCGCCUGGGGAGUACGGCCGCAAGGCUAAAACUCAAAGGAAUUGACGGGGCCCCGCACAAGCGGCGGAGCAUGCGGAUUAAUUCGAUGCAACGCGUAGAACCUUACCUGGGUUUAACAUGGAUCGGGAGCGCUCAGAGAUGGGUGUGCCUCUUUUGGGGUCGGUUCACAGGUGGUGCAUGGCUGUCGUCAGCUCGUGUCGUGAGAUGUUGGGUUAAGUCCCGCAACGAGCGCAACCCUUGUUCACUGUUGCCAGCACGUUAUGGUGGGGACUCAGUGGAGACCGCCGGGGUCAACUCGGAGGAAGGUGGGGAUGACGUCAAGUCAUCAUGCCCCUUAUGUCCAGGGCUUCACGCAUGCUACAAUGGCUGGUACAGAGAGUGGCGAGCCUGUGAGGGUGAGCGAAUCUCGGAAAGCCGGUCUCAGUUCGGAUUGGGGUCUGCAACUCGACCUCAUGAAGUCGGAGUCGCUAGUAAUCGCAGAUCAGCAACGCUGCGGUGAAUACGUUCCCGGGGCU
Molecule: ribosomal RNA, 1346 nt
Filed under: uncultured bacterium
Lineage: Bacteria
Description: bacterial SSU rRNA
Rfam family: Bacterial small subunit ribosomal RNA
Source: RNAcentral